This 305-nucleotide ribosomal RNA is filed under the name uncultured bacterium. RNAcentral's name for it is "bacterial SSU rRNA". It matches the Rfam family "Bacterial small subunit ribosomal RNA", at positions 29 to 359 of the family's 1533-position model. The record is from RNAcentral.
AGCGAACGCUGGCGGCAGGCUUAACACAUGCAAGUCGAACGGGCGUAGCAAUACGUCAGUGGCAGACGGGUGAGUAACGCGUGGGAACGUACCUUUUGGUUCGGAACAACCCAGGGAAACUUGGGCUAAUACCGGAUAAGCCCUUACGGGGAAAGAUUUAUCGCCGAAAGAUCGGCCCGCGUCUGAUUAGCUAGUUGGUGUGGUAACGGCGCACCAAGGCGACGAUCAGUAGCUGGUCUGAGAGGAUGAUCAGCCACAUUGGGACUGAGACACGGCCCAAACUCCUACGGGAGGCAGCAGUGGGG